GCUCGUGGAUCGAUGAAGACCGCAGCUAAAUGCGCGUCAGAAUGUGAACUGCAGGACACAUGAACACCGACAAGUUGAACGCAUAUUGCACCUCGUACAACAGUACGAGGUACACAUUUUUGAGUGCCUAUAUUUAACCACAUUCAACUAUACGUGUGUGCGCGUACCACUCCGGGUGGACAGGCGCACGGCCCCCCCCCGGGCAAGCACGUAUGCGGAGUGACGUUUUCCCGCGCGGUUCGCCCGCCACGGUAAAACGUUGAAGAUAGUCAGGCGCGUCGCCCCGCGUGGUCGACGUGGUUGAUGAAUACAUCCCAUAUGCCGCCACCAUCGGCUACGUUGUGUUCCAUCAGCGUAUGCCCCCUCCCGGGGUAUACCCUAUCUGCACUGCAUAUCAGUAGGCCUCAAAUAAUGUGUGACUACCCCCUAAAUUUAAGCA
This 439-nucleotide ribosomal RNA is filed under the name Aedes notoscriptus. Its description in RNAcentral is "eukaryotic LSU rRNA". The stretch from base 1 to 129 matches the Rfam family "5.8S ribosomal RNA", at positions 24 to 154 of the family's 154-position model. The record is from RNAcentral. Lineage: Eukaryota; Metazoa; Arthropoda; Insecta; Diptera; Culicidae.